RNAcentral lists this ribosomal RNA (379 nucleotides) under Escherichia coli. Its description in RNAcentral is "partial 23S ribosomal RNA". It matches the Rfam family "Bacterial large subunit ribosomal RNA", at positions 519 to 900 of the family's 2925-position model. The record is from RNAcentral. Lineage: Bacteria; Pseudomonadati; Pseudomonadota; Gammaproteobacteria; Enterobacterales; Enterobacteriaceae.
AAGAACCCCGGCGAGGGGAGUGAAAAAGAACCUGAAACCGUGUACGUACAAGCAGUGGGAGCACGCUUAGGCGUGUGACUGCGUACCUUUUGUAUAAUGGGUCAGCGACUUAUAUUCUGUAGCAAGGUUAACCGAAUAGGGGAGCCGAAGGGAAACCGAGUCUUAACUGGGCGUUAAGUUGCAGGGUAUAGACCCGAAACCCGGUGAUCUAGCCAUGGGCAGGUUGAAGGUUGGGUAACACUAACUGGAGGACCGAACCGACUAAUGUUGAAAAAUUAGCGGAUGACUUGUGGCUGGGGGUGAAAGGCCAAUCAAACCGGGAGAUAGCUGGUUCUCCCCGAAAGCUAUUUAGGUAGCGCCUCGUGAAUUCAUCUCCGGG